UACGUAGGGUCCGAGCGUUGUCCGGAAUUAUUGGGCGUAAAGGGCUCGUAGGCGGUUUGUCGCGUCGGGAGUGAAAACACGGGGCUUAACCCCGUGCCUGCUUCCGAUACGGGCAGACUAGAGGUAUGCAGGGGAGAACGGAAUUCCUGGUGUAGCGGUGAAAUGCGCAGAUAUCUGGAGGAACACCGGUGGCGAAGGCGGCAUCCUGGACCAAUAUUGACGCUGAGGAGCGAAAGCUAGGGGAGCAAACGGG
Molecule: ribosomal RNA, 253 nt
Filed under: uncultured bacterium
Lineage: Bacteria
Description: partial 16S ribosomal RNA
Rfam family: Bacterial small subunit ribosomal RNA
Source: RNAcentral